This 107-nucleotide ribosomal RNA is filed under the name Streptomyces diastatochromogenes. Its description in RNAcentral is "partial 16S ribosomal RNA". It matches the Rfam family "Bacterial small subunit ribosomal RNA", at positions 1 to 108 of the family's 1533-position model. The record is from RNAcentral. Lineage: Bacteria; Bacillati; Actinomycetota; Actinomycetes; Kitasatosporales; Streptomycetaceae.
CAUUCACGGAGAGUUUGAUCCUGGCUCAGGACGAACGCUGGCGGCGUGCUUAACACAUGCAAGUCGAACGAUGAAGCCCUUCGGGGUGGAUUAGUGGCGAACGGGUG